Long non-coding RNA from Ipomoea nil (Japanese morning glory), 203 nucleotides. RefSeq lists it as uncharacterized. The transcript is spliced from 3 exons. Lineage: Eukaryota; Viridiplantae; Streptophyta; Magnoliopsida; Solanales; Convolvulaceae. The record is from RefSeq and is a predicted model, not a curated record.
UGUUGUUGUGCACUUCACUUGUCACUUUUGUUCAUUACUAAGUCUGUUGUUGUGCAUUCAUGUUGAUUAUGUUUUCCACACGAAGUUUCUCCAUUCUGAUUUAAUUACUUGUUGUGCAUUCGAUGUGAUUUUAUGUUUCAUCCAGGUCAUGUCCCUUGACUGUGUUUCCAUCCUUAGUUGAGGUGCACACUGUAGUUAUUUUG